AGAGUUUGAUCAUGGCUCAGAACGAACGCUGGCGGCAGGCUUAAGACAUGCAAGUCGAACGAGUAAGUGCCUGUAGCAAUACAGGAGUACUGCUAGUGGCAAACGGGUGAGUAACACGUGGGAACCUACCUUUUGGUGCGGAACAACAGCUGGAAACGGCUGCUAAUACCGCAUGUGCUCGAAAGAGGAAAGAUUUAUCGCCAAAAGAUGGGCCCGCGCUUGAUUAGCUAGUUGGUAGGGUAAUGGCCUACCAAGGCUACGAUCAAUAGCUGGUCUGAGAGGAUGAUCAGCCACACUGGAACUGAGACACGGUCCAGACUCCUACGGGAGGCAGCAGUCGGGAAUAUUGGACAAUGGAGGAAACUCUGAUCCAGCCAUGCCGCGUGAGUGAAGAAGGCCUUCGGGUUGUAAAGCUCUUUAGCCAGGGAAGAUAAUGACGGUACCUGGAGAAUAAGCUCCGGCUAACUCUGUGCCAGCCGCCGCGGUAAUAC
RNAcentral lists this ribosomal RNA (491 nucleotides) under uncultured bacterium. RNAcentral's name for it is "bacterial SSU rRNA". It matches the Rfam family "Bacterial small subunit ribosomal RNA", at positions 8 to 526 of the family's 1533-position model. The record is from RNAcentral.